AGAAUGAACGCUGGCGGCAUGCCUAACACAUGCAAGUCGAACGAAAUCCUUCGGGGUUUAGUGGCGCACGGGUGCGUAACGCGUGGGAAUCUGCCCUUGGGUUCGGAAUAACAGUUGGAAACGACUGCUAAAUACCGGAUGAUGACGUAAGUCCAAAGAUUUGUCGCCCAGGGAUGAGCCCGCGUAGGAUUAGGUAGUUGGUGUGGUAAAGGCGCACCAAGCCGACGAUCCUUAGCUGGUCUGAGAGGAUGAUCAGCCACACUGGGACUGAGACACGGCCCAGACUCCUACGGGAGGCAGCAGUGGGGAAUAUUGGACAAUGGGCGAAAGCCUGAUCCAGCAAUGCCGCGUGAGUGAUGAAGGCCUUAGGGUUGUAAAGCUCUUUACCCGGGAUGAUAUGACAGUACCGGGAGAAUAAGCUCCGGCUAACUCCGCGCCAGCAGCCGC
This 447-nucleotide ribosomal RNA is filed under the name uncultured bacterium. Its description in RNAcentral is "SSU rRNA". It matches the Rfam family "Bacterial small subunit ribosomal RNA", at positions 26 to 518 of the family's 1533-position model. The record is from RNAcentral.